UUUAGUUUAUGUGUUGAGCCAACAACCUAUGUCGGGGCGGAGCCACUAAGAGACCAGGAUGGUCUCGAGCCCAACCUAAUCAGUCUUCCCUGAAUAUUCUAAUUUUGAUGAUGAGGGUGAAGGCAUAGUCAAGGCAGGGGAUGCUGUUGAGUUAACUGAGAGGCCUUCCACUUCUGGUGAGAGGGUGAAAGCAUAGUCGAAGCAGAUGAUGAUGAUGUUUAGUUGCAUAAGAGGCCUUCCACUUAUGGAAGUUUCAUGAGCAUGCUUUUGGGAGGCCGGAAGACCUCAAAAUUCAAAUGGCUGGAUUUGCCAAGACCCUCCUGUGGUCUGAUUCAGCUGCUAGUAGGUACAAGGUUUACAAACAAUGUUGCCUGAAAUAAACUGAGACCACUACACCGGAGCUCACUUUGGUCGGGUGCAAAAAUCAUCGAAAAGGAAGAGUGUGGAAAUAGGGCUCACAUACUUUGGCUUUAGAGGAAGUGAGAUGGAAAUGGAGAGAAAGCUGCAUGCAUUACUAGAACCGGUGGCUGGCUGCUGGAUUACAUAUUUCACCGGAAUGGUCUUUUCCUUUGCUUUCAGGCAAAAUGAAGAUCGUCUGGACAUAGGCACAUUCAAAAGCUCCAUUGCGUGGUAUGUGUAGUAUAAUGCAGGGAGCUCCAGACUUGUUUGAGGUCUUCAGUAUAUUUCUCAGAAAAAUGUUGUUCAACUACUAGAAUAUUAUUCACUGGACCUGCCGGGUACAGUGCAAACUUUAUGUAAAUACUAAACAAAUUAGUAAA
This is a long non-coding RNA of Pyrus x bretschneideri (Chinese white pear), 779 nucleotides long. RefSeq lists it as uncharacterized. The transcript has 3 exons. NCBI's taxonomy places the organism in Eukaryota, Viridiplantae, Streptophyta, Magnoliopsida, Rosales, Rosaceae. The record is from RefSeq and is a predicted model, not a curated record.